UCUGAUGGGUGUUACAAUGA
This 20-nucleotide non-coding RNA is filed under the name Arabidopsis thaliana (thale cress). The record is from RNAcentral. Lineage: Eukaryota; Viridiplantae; Streptophyta; Magnoliopsida; Brassicales; Brassicaceae.